This is a non-coding RNA of Triticum urartu, 506 nucleotides long. The record is from RefSeq and is a predicted model, not a curated record. Lineage: Eukaryota; Viridiplantae; Streptophyta; Magnoliopsida; Poales; Poaceae.
UGCCGUGCGACGCGCACAUCCAUAAGCAGGAAGAAAAGGGGGGCGGAUCCAUUCAUUCCGCACGGUGGCCCAAGGGACAGCGGCAUCGCGGCACCGGCGUCCUCGCACGGCGUAGGCCGUGCGGACCCCUGAGGGUGGAGACGUCAAUGCGACGUCAUAUGGCACAGUACCCCAUGAUCUCAGUGGCGAGGAUGAGCAGCACCAAAGGCGCCGUGUUGAUGUAGUCGUGGAGAGGCAGCAGCUCAUCCAGGAGCGUCGCCGGAGGCAGCAGGAAGCCGCCGGCACAGCCUUGCGGCGGCCGGUGAUGGAAACGGCCUUCCCAUUGCUUCAGCACACCCCUAGAUCGACAGGGUUCGAGGGAAUAAAGGAGCUGGAUAUAAUUUACGUGAACUCCGCUCCAUAAGUAUCCAGGCCCCACCCUUUAUAUGUAUGCUGGCAAUAGGGGACCAAAACCAUCUGUUGGUUAGAGGUGCCCCCGAUCAGGGCGGUUCUGUUGGGGUCAACAA